This 3905-nucleotide long non-coding RNA is filed under the name Sus scrofa (pig). Its description in RNAcentral is "lncRNA (ENSSSCG00050078800.1)". Lineage: Eukaryota; Metazoa; Chordata; Mammalia; Artiodactyla; Suidae. The record is from RNAcentral.
AUAAAGGAACUAUACUUUAAUUAAAAACAUUAAUAUAUCAGGAACAAAGGUAACUACAAAAAAAGAAAAUAGAGAAAAAUCAAAAUAAAGUGCUGUUUCUUUAGGAUAAUCAGUAAUAUCAAUAAAUGUCUAAGAAGAUUGACAAUGAUUAAAAAAGAUAGUUGAGGAGUUCCUGUGGUGGCGCAGUGGUUAACGAAUCCGACUAGGAACCAUGAGGUUGCAGGUUCGGUCCCUGCCCUUGCUCAGAGGGUUAAGGAUCCGGCGUUGCCGUGAGCUGUGGUGUAGGUUGCAGACGUGGCUCGGAUCCCGCGUUGCUGUGGCUCUGGAGCCAGCGACUAUAGCUCCGAUUGGACCUCUAGCCUGAGAACCUCCGUAUGCCACGAGUAUGGCCCUAGAAAAGAGAAACAAACAGAAACAAAAAAAAAAAUUUCCUCAAAAAGGACCAACUAUCCAAUUCAUCCAAUAUGAAAAAGAUACUCUGAAUAACUGCAUAUUUAUCAGGUAAUAUGUAAUUUUAAAAGUAUCCAGAACAUCUCCAGGCACAAAUGGUUCACUGGAGAAUGCCAAAAAACAUCAAAACAACAAUUAAAAACAAUUACACACAGUCUUCCUGCAAAAUAGAAGAGAACAAUCCCUCCCAACUCAACUUGGGAAGCAACUACUUGACACCAUAACCACACAAUGAAAGUAGUUAAAAACAAGCAAACAAAUACUAAGAACUAUUCAUCAUCAAUCAAGGGAUUAGAGGAAAAAUUGCUCAAAAACUAUAAAUCAAAUGGAAUGCUUUAAUAUAAUAUGUAUAUAAAAAACUUAUAUUCCACAGCCAAGUGGGGUUUAUUUCAAGGAUGCAAGGCUGGUUCAAUAUGCAAAACUCAGUGCACUACAUCACAUCAAUUAAGAUACUGAAGAAAACUCAAGAUGAUCAUGUCAACCGGAGAUAAAGCAUUUGACAAAACUCAACACUCAUUCACCAUAACAAAAAUCUCAGCAAAUUAAGAACAGAGGGAAACUUUCUAGACUUGUUGGAAAACUCUAUGGAAAAAGAACCUUACACCUAACAUUGCACUUAAUGAAAAACUGAACGUGUUCCCUCUAACAUCAGGAACCAGACAAGGAUAUCCUUUAUUACUCUGAUUCAACAUACUGGAAGUCCUAGCUAAUGCAGUGAAAUAACAAGUGCAGAGACAGGAAGAAAUAAAACUAAUUUGGAGUUCCCGUCAUGGCUCAGUGGAAAUGAAUCUGACUAGUAUCCAUGAGGACGCAGAUUCACUCCCUGGCCUCUCUCGGUGGGUUAAGGAUCCAGUGCUGCCAUGAGCUUUAGCGUAGUUUGAAGAUGCAGCUCAGAUCUGGUGCGGCUGUGGCUGUGGUGUAGGCCAGCAGCUACAGCCCCAAUUCCACCCCUAGCUUGGGAAACUCCAUAUGCCACAGGUGCAGCUGGAAGAAGACAGAAAAAAAAAAAAGAAAAAAAAAAAGGAAAUAAAACUAAUUUGCGGUUGCCAUUUCUACACAGAAAUGCCAAGGAUUCUAUCCAAAGAAAUGGCUAGAAACAAUAAGAACUGAGUUCAGUCGUGAGUGCAAGAUACUGAAAUAUUACUCCAGGAACAAUUAUCUUUCGGAAUACUACUAAAGAUCACAUGGAAAUUGAAAGUUUAUGUCAUCUGAAAAAUCACAUGGAAAAAAACCCCACCAACUGCUUAGACAUAAAUAAUAACAAAAAUGUAUAAAACCUGUACUGUUGAAAUUUAUAAAAUGCUAAGGAACUAUCAAUAAUUACUUAAAUAGGAGUUCCCACUGUGGCUCUCAGCAAGUUAAGAACCCGACUAGUCCCCAUGUGGAUUCAGGUUUCACUCCUGGCCUCACUCAGUGUUGCUAUGUGCUGGUGUUGCUAUGUGCUGCACUGUAGGCUGCAUAUGCAGCUUGGAUCUCAAGUUGUAUAGAUUAUAUCUGCAGGUCCGACUCAUCCCUAGCCCAGGAACUCCCACAUGCCACAGGUGCAGCCAUAAAAAGGAGCAGGAAAGGAAAAAAUUAAAUAAAUGAAGGGUCAUAUCAUGUAAUGUGUUCAUGGUGCUACUUCUGAAACUGCUCUACAGGUUUACAUCGAUUUUGAUAAAUAUGUGGGCAAGAUUUUUUUGCAUCCUAAGAUCUGUAGCUGCCAGCCACAGCCACAGCAAUGUAGGAUCUAACCCAUGUCUGCGACCUACAGCACAGCUCAUGGCAACACCGGAUCUUAACCCACUGAGAGAGGCCAAGGAUCAAACCCACAUCCUCACGGAUACUAGGUGGAUUCACUUCUCCUGCACCACAACAGGAACUCCCUCAUUUUACCCAAUUUUAAAUUUUACUGUAUAGCUAUAUAAAUUAAGUACACAAUACACUGGAUCAAUAAAAAGACUGAAUGCGUAGUGGUUAAAGCCACCAAAAGAACAGCCGGGUUCUUCCAAAAAACUAAAGCCUGAAAAGCCUUAACCGGCAUGAUAAAAUGGGCCCAUCUGUCCUAUGUGCAUCCUUAGCUGCGUAAAUACCUGCCCCCAACCAUCUAACUCUCCAGACACCGGACAGCAAUGACUGUAUACGCACAAGACACAGGAAGGAUCAAGGCCCUUUGCCUCUGAAAUAACACCCCCUUCACCCCAAGUAAACUAAGGAAUCCAUGACAAAGUGCCGAAAGCUUGACAGAGGAGUCUCAGAGAAACUGUGUUUGCGAUACAUUUUCUCUUCUAAGUCUCCACCUUCUCUUUAUAAAAAUUCCUGAGAUAAUACUGCAGUGUAAACUAAGGAGAAAAACAGUAGCUAAACAAACAGUCUCUCCCUCACCGAUGAAUUCUGAGAUGCAGAAUAAGGCUUGACGCUGCGCCAGUCUCUCAAAUGCGUCUUCACACAACUGAUGGAUGACCUGUGACAGGUUCUCUCAUCGUGAAGAUACCUGUGGGGUUUCUCUUUGGUAUGUACGAUCAGACGUUGUGGUAGAUGUUUUCUCCUGCAAAAGAGUCUCCUCGGGGUUUACAUUCAGAAAGUCUUUUCCCAGCAGGAGUUCUCGGAGGGUGGCUGAGGUUUGGUCACCUGGGAAGGGUCUUCCCACAUCUGUCACGCUGACAGGGUUUCGCCCAGUAUGAACCCUUUGAUGCUGAGUGAGGGAGGAGCUGCGACUGAAGGCCUUUCCACACUCACUGCACUUGUAAGGCUUCUCUCCCGUGUGGAUGAUGGCGUGUCGAAUGAGGUUGGUGCUCCAGCAGAAGGAUUUCCCACACUCCAUGCAUUCAUAGGGCUUCUCGCCACUGUGAAUCCGCUGGUGCCUUGUCAGGCCUGACCUGCGGUUAAAGGCCUUCCCACACUCCGUGCACUCAUGGGGCUUCUCCCCAGUGUGGACGCUGAAGUGCCGAAUGAGAUCUUUCCGAGUGCUAAAGGCUUUUCCACAUUCUUUGCACUCAAAGGGCUUCUCGCCAGUGUGGGCCCUUUUAUGCAAGAUGAAGGUGGAGCAGUGGGUGAAGGCCCUUCCACACUCGGUGCACACAAAAGGCUUCUCCCCGGUGUGAAUCCGCUGGUGCCUCUUGAGGUAGGACCUGUGGUUGAAGGCCUUCCCGCACUCGAGGCACUCGAAGGGCUUCUCCCCGGUGUGGAUGACGUAGUGGUGAAUGAGGGCGGCGCUCUCACAGAAGGCCUUGCCGCACUCGCUGCACUCAUAGGGCUUCUCCCCGGUGUGUGUCUGCUGGUGCCACACGAGGUACGACUUGUGUUUGAAGACCUUGCCACACUCAAAGCACUCGUACGGAUUCUCGCCGCUGUGGACGAUGUGAUGUCGAAGGAAUCCGGGCCUAUGUCGGAACACCUGCCCACAUUCUUUGCACACGAAGGAUUUCUCCCCGGUGUGUCUCCUCUUAUGUAAGACAAAAUUGGAGCGGUGGGUG